Ciona savignyi (Pacific transparent sea squirt) is the source of this 119-nucleotide non-coding RNA. Lineage: Eukaryota; Metazoa; Chordata; Ascidiacea; Phlebobranchia; Cionidae. The record is from Rfam.
GUCAGGAUGGCCGAGUGGUCUAAGGCGCCAGACUCAAGAACAGAGGUUCUUCGCCGACAUGAGGUGUUGAGUAUUCUGGUCUCCGAAUGGAGGCGUGGGUUCGAAUCCCACUUCUGACA